ACUCAAAGGAAUAGACGGGGGCCCGCACAAGCGGUGGAGCAUGUUGGUUAAUUGGAUGAUACGCCAAGAACCUUACCAGGGCUUGACAUGUUCCUGACAGCCUGCGAAAGCAGGUCUUCCUCGCAAGAGGACAGGAUCACAGGUGGUGCAUGGUUGUCGACAGCUCGUGUCGUGAGAUGUUGGGUUAAGUCCCGCAACGAGCGCAACCCUCACCGAAUGUUGCCAGCGGAUAAUGCCGGGGACUCUUUCGGGACUGCCUGAGUAAUCAGGAGGAAGGGGGGGACGACGUCAAAUCGGCAUGCCCCUUAUGUCCUGGGCUGCAAACGUGCUACAAUGGCCGGCUACAAAGGGAAGCCAAGCCGCGAGGUGGAGCUAAUCCUCAAAGUCGGUCCCAGUUGGGAUUGGAUCUCUGCAACUCGAGUCCAUGAACGUGGAAUCGCUAGUAAUCGCGGAUCAGCAAUGCCGCGGUGAAUACGUUCCCGGGCCUUGCACACACCGCCCGU
This 503-nucleotide ribosomal RNA is filed under the name uncultured bacterium. Its description in RNAcentral is "bacterial SSU rRNA". It matches the Rfam family "Bacterial small subunit ribosomal RNA", at positions 899 to 1397 of the family's 1533-position model. The record is from RNAcentral.